RNAcentral lists this non-coding RNA (27 nucleotides) under Bombyx mori (domestic silkworm). The record is from RNAcentral. Lineage: Eukaryota; Metazoa; Arthropoda; Insecta; Lepidoptera; Bombycidae.
UGCAAUCGCAUUCCUCUCCGCAGCCUC